Molecule: ribosomal RNA, 305 nt
Filed under: uncultured bacterium
Lineage: Bacteria
Description: bacterial SSU rRNA
Rfam family: Bacterial small subunit ribosomal RNA
Source: RNAcentral
AUGCCUACGGGAGGCAGCAGUGGGGAAUAUUGGGCAAUGGGCGCAAGCCUGACCCAGCAACGCCGCGUGAAGGAAGAAGGCUUUCGGGUUGUAAACUUCUUUUGACAGGGAAGAGCAGAAGACGGUACCUGUCGAAUAAGCCACGGCUAACUACGUGCCAGCAGCCGCGGUAAUACAUAGGGAGCAAGCGUUAUCCGGAUUUAUUGGGUGUAAAGGGUGCGUAGACGGGAAAUUAAGUUAGUUGUGAAAUCCCUCGGCUUAACUGAGGAACUGCAACUAAAACUGAUUUUCUUGAGUACUGGAGG